GACGAACGCUGGCGGCGUGCUUAACACAUGCAAGUCGAGCGGUAAGGCCCUUUCGGGGGUACACGAGCGGCGAACGGGUGAGUAACACGUGGGUGACCUGCCCUCAGCUCUGGGAUAAGCCUGGGAAACCGGGUCUAAUACUGGAUAUGACUCCAUGACGCAUGUUGUGGGGUGGAAAGCCUUGUGCGGCUGAGGAUGGGCCCGCGGCCUAUCAGCUUGUUGGUGGGGUGANGGCCUACCAAGGCGACGACGGGUAGCCGGCCUGAGAGGGCGACCGGCCACACUGGGACUGAGACACGGCCCAGACUCCUACGGGAGGCAGCAGUGGGGAAUCUUGCGCAAUGGGCGAAAAGCCUGACGCAGCGACGCCGCGUGAGGGAUGACGGCCUCGGUGUAA
Molecule: ribosomal RNA, 397 nt
Filed under: uncultured bacterium
Lineage: Bacteria
Description: bacterial SSU rRNA
Rfam family: Bacterial small subunit ribosomal RNA
Source: RNAcentral